Non-coding RNA from Archocentrus centrarchus (flier cichlid), 366 nucleotides. Lineage: Eukaryota; Metazoa; Chordata; Actinopteri; Cichliformes; Cichlidae. The record is from the annotation of a RefSeq genome assembly.
AUGAUGGACUGCAGGACAGGACUGCUGCUUUUAACUCUCUGCUGGGCAGGUGUUGAUGGUCAGACUCUGACAGAAUCUGAACCAGUGGUUAAAAGGCCCGGAGAGUCCCACACACUGACCUGCACAGCCUCUGGAUUCACAUUCAGCGACUACCAGAUGGCCUGGGUCAGACAGGCUCCUGGAAAAGGACUGGAGUGGAUUUCUUUAUUAAGUAAACCAAGUGGUAGUGAUAAACUCUACUCUCAGUCAGUUCAAGGCCGGUUUACCAUCUCCAGAGACAAUGACAAACAGCAGGUGUAUCUGCAGAUGAACAGUCUGAAAACUGAAGAUUCUGCUGUUUAUUACUGUGCUCGACGCACACAGUGA